RNAcentral lists this long non-coding RNA (841 nucleotides) under Mytilus galloprovincialis (Mediterranean mussel). Lineage: Eukaryota; Metazoa; Mollusca; Bivalvia; Mytilida; Mytilidae. The record is from RNAcentral.
CAGAAAUAUUCAAAAUUAUAAACUUGGUCUUUUGGAUUUUCAUUAGAUUCAUCAUGAUUAUGGUUUGAGAAGAGAUAUUUUGUCUGCUUCUGUACAUUGCCCAGAAAAAGAAAAUGGCUGUCCUUACACUGCAAAACUUGAAAAAAUCGAGGUAAGCUUAUUGACGUAAUUUGAACAAACUUAAAAGUUAUGUAUGAUAUAUUUUGAACUUCAGCGUUAACAUUUUUGCAAAAUGUCACCCCACCCCCUCCAACCAACAAAACAAAAGUAAAAGAGAACAGCAGUAAAAUAUAAUUCGUUAGACAUUUAAUGUAUCUACCUCAUGCAAAACUCUGAUUCCUUGCACAGCUUUGGCUUUAUUUUUUGGUCCUUUAUUGUUUAUAGCUCUUCAUAUUUUUAAUAAGCUUUGUAUAUUCAAAUAUUUUGGCCUCGAGCAUCACUAUAUAGUCGAAAUGUGCAUCUUGUGCAUAAAAAAUGGUACCGUUUAUGUCAUUACAGCUUCUAUGAAUGUUAAUCAAAAAAUAAAUUUUAGAUGAAACAUAUCAAAGUGUAUAUUUUCCAUAGAUAGUUACCUCAAAUCAAGUAAAAAUCCCCUUUAAAAUCAUUUUCUUCUGCACAUGAUGUGUCAAAUUGUUAAUAGGUGGGCAAUAUUUUGACAUUUUACAGAGUCACUUGUCAUCAGAUUGUGAGUGGAGGCUUGUAAACUGCACAUUUAAAGACAAAGGAUGCGAUGAAAACAUACGUUACAAGGACCUACAGGAUCAUAUAUCUACAUUGUGCCUACAAGCUCCAGUUGUUUGUGCCUUCUGUCAGUUACCCGUUUUAAGAGGCAAGAUGAGGG